GACGUAGGGUGCGAGCGUUGUCCGGAUUUAUUGGGCGUAAAGAGCUCGUAGGCGGCUUGUCGCGUCGACCGUGAAAACUUGGGGCUCAACCCCAAGCCUGCGGUCGAUACGGGCAGGCUAGAGUUCGGUAGGGGAGACUGGAAUUCCUGGUGUAGCGGUGAAAUGCGCAGAUAUCAGGAGGAACACCGAUGGCGAAGGCAGGUCUCUGGGCCGAUACUGACGCUGAGGAGCGAAAGCGUGGGGAGCGAACAGG
RNAcentral lists this ribosomal RNA (253 nucleotides) under uncultured bacterium. RNAcentral's name for it is "partial 16S ribosomal RNA". It matches the Rfam family "Bacterial small subunit ribosomal RNA", at positions 524 to 776 of the family's 1533-position model. The record is from RNAcentral.